This 398-nucleotide ribosomal RNA is filed under the name uncultured bacterium. RNAcentral describes it as "partial 16S ribosomal RNA". It matches the Rfam family "Bacterial small subunit ribosomal RNA", at positions 357 to 746 of the family's 1533-position model. The record is from RNAcentral.
UGGGAAUUUGGACAAUGGGCGAAAGCCUGAUCCAGCAAUGCCGCGUGUGUGAAGAAGGCCUUCGGGUUGUAAAGCACUUUUGUCCGGAAAGAAAUCCUUGGCUCUAAUACAGUCGGGGGAUGACGGUACCGGAAGAAUAAGCACCGGCUAACUACGUGCCAGCAGCCGCGGUAAUACGUAGGGUGCAAGCGUUAAUCGGAAUUACUGGGCGUAAAGCGUGCGCAGGCGGUUUGCUAAGACCGAUGUGAAAUCCCCGGGCUCAACCUGGGAACUGCAUUGGUGACCGGCAGGCUAGAGUAUGGCAGAGGGGGGUAGGAAUUCCACGUGUAGCAGUGAAAUGCGUAGAGAUGUGGAGGAAUACCGAUGGCGAAGGCAGCCCCCUGGGCCAAUACUGACGC